AUUGAACGCUGGCGGAAUGCUUUACACAUGCAAGUCGAACGGCAGCACGGACUUCGGUCUGGUGGCGAGUGGCGAACGGGUGAGUCAUGUAGCGGAACGUGCCCAGUCGUGGGGGAUAACGUAGUGAAAAUUACGCUAAUACCGCAUACGAUCUAUGGAUGAAAGCGGGGGAUCGCAAGACUCCGCGCGCUUGGAGCGGCCGCGAUCAGAUUAGGUAGUUGGUGGGGUAAAGGCCCACCAAGCCGACGAUCUGUAGCUGGUCUGAGAGGACGACCAGCCACACUGGAACUGAGACACGGUCCAGACUCCUACGGGAGGCAGCAGUGGGGAAUUUUGGACAAUGGGCGAAAGCCUGAUCCAGCCAUUCCGCGUGCAGGAUGAAGGCCCUCGGGUUGUAAACUGCUUUUGUACAGAACGAAAAGGUUUCUACUAAUACUAGGAGCUCAUGACGGUACUGUAAGAAUAAGCACCGGCUAACUACGUGCCAGCCGCCGCCGUAA
This 500-nucleotide ribosomal RNA is filed under the name uncultured bacterium. Its description in RNAcentral is "partial 16S ribosomal RNA". It matches the Rfam family "Bacterial small subunit ribosomal RNA", at positions 30 to 523 of the family's 1533-position model. The record is from RNAcentral.